AAUAAAAUCAUGUUAUUCAGUAUAUCUCUGUUUUCAUUUUCAUUUUACUGUUUUGUUUGCAAAAAUGACGUCCGAAUUUUUGAUAAACAUUGCAUCAUGACACAUAAGGGCUUUACAGGUACAUGCUUAAUAAACAUUUAAAAUUGCUGUAAAUUUUAAGUGCUUUGGAUCGUCUAUUCAGAACAGGUACCCUCAGGGCAUUUCCUUAAAAUCCCCUGCAGAUGAUCGUGAAU
Molecule: long non-coding RNA, 233 nt
Filed under: Lathyrus oleraceus (garden pea)
Lineage: Eukaryota; Viridiplantae; Streptophyta; Magnoliopsida; Fabales; Fabaceae
Description: Pisum sativum (pea) long non-coding RNA (PSAT_LNC011022)
Source: RNAcentral